UACGUAGGUGGCAAGCGUUGUCCGGAUUUACUGGGCGUAAAGAGCGCGCAGGCGGUCGUCCAAGUCGCGUGUGAAAGCCCCCGGCUCAACUGGGGAGGGUCACGCGAUACUGGGCGACUCGAAGGCAGGAGAGGGUAGUGGAAUUCCCGGUGUAGUGGUGAAAUGCGUAGAUAUCGGGAGGAACACCAGUGGCGAAGGCGACUACCUGGCCUGUUCUUGACGCUGAGGCGCGAAAGCUAGGGGAGCAAACGGG
RNAcentral lists this ribosomal RNA (253 nucleotides) under uncultured bacterium. RNAcentral's name for it is "partial 16S ribosomal RNA". It matches the Rfam family "Bacterial small subunit ribosomal RNA", at positions 524 to 776 of the family's 1533-position model. The record is from RNAcentral.